This 253-nucleotide ribosomal RNA is filed under the name uncultured bacterium. RNAcentral's name for it is "partial 16S ribosomal RNA". It matches the Rfam family "Bacterial small subunit ribosomal RNA", at positions 524 to 776 of the family's 1533-position model. The record is from RNAcentral.
UACGGAAGGAGCAAGCGUUACUCGGAAUUAUUGGGCGUAAAGGGCGCGUAGGCGAUCUGACAAGUCUGGUGUGAAAGCCCACAUGUUAACUGUGGAAGUGCAUUAGAAACUGUUGGAUUUGAGUUCAGGAGAGGAAGGCAGAAUUCCCGGUGUAGCGGUGAAAUGCGUAGAGAUCGGGAGGAAUACCAGUGGCGAAGGCGGCCUUCUGGACUGACACUGACGCUGAGGCGCGAAAGCCAGGGGAGCAAACGGG